RNAcentral lists this ribosomal RNA (501 nucleotides) under Candida viswanathii. Its description in RNAcentral is "eukaryotic LSU rRNA". It matches the Rfam family "Eukaryotic large subunit ribosomal RNA", at positions 281 to 802 of the family's 3401-position model. Lineage: Eukaryota; Fungi; Ascomycota; Pichiomycetes; Serinales; Debaryomycetaceae. The record is from RNAcentral.
UGCAGCUCUAAGUGGGUGGUAAAUUCCAUCUAAAGCUAAAUAUUGGCGAGAGACCGAUAGCGAACAAGUACAGUGAUGGAAAGAUGAAAAGAACUUUGAAAAGAGAGUGAAAAAGUACGUGAAAUUGUUGAAAGGGAAGGGCUUGAGAUCAGACUUGGCAUUUUGCAUGUUGCUUCUUCGGGGGCGGCCUCUGCGGUUUGUCGGGCCAGCAUCAGUUUGGGCGGCAGGACAAUCGCGUGGGAAUGUGGCACGGCCUCGGCUGUGUGUUAUAGCCCGCGUGGAUACUGCCAGCCUAGACUGAGGACUGCGGUUUAUACCUAGGAUGUUGGCAUAAUGAUCUUAAGUCGCCCGUCUUGAAACACGGACCAAGGAGUCUAACGUCUAUGCGAGUGUUUGGGUGUAAAACCCGUACGCGUAAUGAAAGUGAACGUAGGUGGGGGCCCUCUCGGGGGUGCACCAUCGACCGAUCCUGAUGUCUUCGGAUGGAUUUGAGUAAGAGCA